This is a regulatory RNA element of Catenulispora acidiphila DSM 44928, 76 nucleotides long. It matches the Rfam family "6C RNA". NCBI's taxonomy places the organism in Bacteria, Bacillati, Actinomycetota, Actinomycetes, Catenulisporales, Catenulisporaceae. The record is from Rfam.
CACGGCCCGGCUCCUCCCCCCCGAGCCUGGUCGUGGAGAAGACCCCCGCUCUCCCCCCCGGCGGGGGUCUUCACUU